GCCUUCUUGGCACAGUAGGCAGAGUGUCAAUUUCAUAAUCUGAAGGUCCUCAGUUUGAGUCUCAGAGAGGGCA
Molecule: transfer RNA, 73 nt
Filed under: Canis lupus familiaris (dog)
Lineage: Eukaryota; Metazoa; Chordata; Mammalia; Carnivora; Canidae
Also listed under: 1 other name
Rfam family: tRNA
About the family: Transfer RNA (tRNA) molecules are approximately 80 nucleotides in length. Their secondary structure includes four short double-helical elements and three loops (D, anti-codon, and T loops).
Source: Rfam by way of RNAcentral